GUCUUUUUGAUAAAUAAUUUAAAGUCUAAUCUGCCCCCUGAAAUUAUUUUAAAGGGCUGCGGUAUUUUAACCGUACAAAGGUAGCAUAAUAAUUAGGUUUUUAAUUGAAAUCUAGAAUGAAUGAUUGGACGAGAUACAGGCUAUUUUAAAAUAUUAUAUAAAACUUAAUUUUUUAGUUAAAAAGCUAAAAUUUUAUUAAAAGACGAGAAGACCCUAUAAAUCUUUAUAAUUAAUUUAUUUUAAUUAAUUAUUUAAUUAAAAUUUAAUUUAAUUAAUUUAAUUAUUUUAUUGGGGUGAUAUAAAAAUUUUAAAAACUUUUUAUAAAAAUUUACUUUAAUUAAAGAUUUUAUAAUUUUGAUCUAUUAUUAAUAAUUUAAAGAAUAAGAUACUUUAGGGAUAACAGCGUAAUUUUAAUUUUAAGUUCAUAUUAAAAUUAAAGAUUGCGACCUCGAUGUUGGAUUAAAAUUUAAUUUAAAUGCAAAAGUUUAAAAAUUAAGUCUGUUCGACUUUUAAAAUUUU
This 519-nucleotide ribosomal RNA is filed under the name Ironoquia punctatissima. RNAcentral's name for it is "partial 16S ribosomal RNA". Lineage: Eukaryota; Metazoa; Arthropoda; Insecta; Trichoptera; Limnephilidae. The record is from RNAcentral.